GCCCUCAUACGCGCCCUGCUCCUGCCCCGACUGCUCGUCAGCUACGGCCGCGCCCCGCGGCCAACGCCAGAGGCAGCGCACGGCGUAGUGCGGGGGGGCCCGCCGCGCCGCGCCCGCCGCCAGCGGCCGUCCGACAUUGUCGCAGGCUUCCAGGACCAACUCCUUGCCGACCGCCAAGCCCAAUCGCUUGCGCAUGUCAGCUGGAAUCGUCAUGUACAGGUUAGCCCUGCGGCUGCAUAAUUUACGCUGUGGAAUGCAGGCGGGGAAACAAGGCGGGGCGUUGGUGGGCCAGCGAGAGCCGUCGGAGCGCAUUGGACGCGCUAGCAGGUGGCGGUGAGGGUGCGGAGCAAAGUGACAGGCGUGGCGGGCGGGACGUUGGAUUCCAGACUUGGACAUGCAGGGAAUGGCGCGGCUCACCGUAAAGGUUUCCUUCGUCCGCCCAAUGUGCAGGACCACGGAGCUGCCUAUGCCCAGCCCGGCGAACCCGCCGCCCGGACAGCACCAUGCCUGGGGGAUGAUGAUGCACCUGCGCCAGCAAAUAACAACACAGAAAGGGCCGGCGCGUGUUUGCACCACCACCCCUUGAGUGACCGCAGUUGCCAGGAGCUUCGUCCCAAGCCGAGUGACGAAAGCUAUCAGCCGAUGCCUGCCAGUGUGGGAGUUCAUGUUAAUGCGCUUACCCGUCGGCGUCGGUUUUCGACAGCACCUUGCGAAGGGCUGCACCCGCCUCCGCCGCCACCGCCGCCGCAGCCCUGUCCCCGCCAUGCUGUGCCGCCGCCGCCGCCGCCGCGAGGCGCCCAGAUUGUGGCAGCGCCUCCACGAGCACCUCAUCUUCGCCGUCCAACACGGCCUCAUCCUCGGACUGCAGGACCUCAUCCUCAUCCGGCUCCUCAUCCUCGUCUUCAUCCUCGUCCGUCACCGCACCCGCGGCCCCUCUAGCGGCCGCGCCGGCAUUGCCGGCGGCUCGGCCGGACCUGCCAUGUAGUCCCGCCCCGUCGGUUCUGGUGCCCAAGACCUCCAGACAGAAGUGGCGCAGCGUCAGCGGUGCGUCGCCCGGCCGCAGCGGCCGGCCGUCCGUCCCGCACGGCGCAAGCACCAGCACGCGCCCGCGCUCCAUGCGCAAUGCAUCCUUCAGGGCCUUGCCGACACGAACGCCCAGUGCGCCCGAGAGGCCCACGUUGGCCUGCGCGUAGCGCAUGGGCCGGAAAGAGCUACUGACGGGUGGAGCGUCAAGCGUAGGCCCUAGCACAGUGUUUUGUUGCGCGUGCGGUCACGCAAGUUGUCACGUGUCAGCAUGUACACGCGGCUCGAGGGUAGUUACCCCAGGAGUCAUAGCGCUUCGCCAAAGCGCGCCGCACGUACCUGCGUGAACUCGGCAGAACCUCGCGCGUGUAGGCACAAGGCCUGCCCCCUCGUGGUACCCGCCAUGACUCCUCCCGCCUUCAGCCACGCCACAGGGAAUUUGACCUUCCUACAAAUCAGAGCAUGCCCGCACGCGUGAAGGACAUGCGUUAUCCUAGGUAUGUACAGAUCGGCAUUCCUCAUCAAGGCCCUAGAGUAAUGCAUGCUCUUGCCCGACUUGAGCCUUGUACACAGUCAAACAGCAUUACGUACUGUGCGCAGUCGGUUUUGGUGAGCUCCUUCAUGCAGGAAAUGUUGAAGGCGGGGAAUCCGCCAGCCACCGCGCCAGGCGCCGGCACACCGCCCACAGCAGGGCUAGCACCGGCAGCUGGAUUGGAUUCCGCGCGCUCCAUCCCGUCGACGCCUUGACCCUCUUGCUCCGCCUCCUUCUGCUGCUCGCCCUCCUCCGCAGCCGCCAUGUGCGCAUCCGCCUCCCCCGCAUCCGGCACUGCGGCCGGCGACCGCGCCUGCGGCCGCCGCUGCGGCUGCAGGGGCUGCUGCUGGUCCGCCCUGGGUUGCAGGAGCGCGACGCCGCCCGCGGCGAGGUCAGCCUUACGCACGCACCACACGGUGAAGUGCACGGGUGGCACGCUCCAGUCAGCUGCCAUCCGGGCCGCCGCUGCGGAGGCGUUCUCAUGCGCCUGUGCCGGCGACACGGCUGCGGCGGUGGCGGCGGCGGUCGAGGCCCAGGGGGCGGGCGGAUGCAGGCAGCGCGCAAAGACGAGUGCGUCGCCGACCGUCGGCUUGUAGUGAUCCAACAUGGCUUUGGUGUCGUGCAGGCGCUGAGCGCUGUUGCCGUUGCCGCGCACGCGCAUCUGCGGGUGUAGGUGCACACAUGCAGCGUUGGCGCGACGUCAAAGCACCGGCCUGAAGACGGCCCCAACGGCCAGCGCCAAUUCCACGCGGCAUGCAGCAGGUGCGGAAAACGCGCGGAAAAAGCAGCACGCGUGUGGUAUUCGAGCCACGGUGCGAUGCCGGGGCGAUGCCUUUAAACUCCCGGUUCCCCACACACGAUUCCUCCUUGCAGCUGAACCUACAACCACUGCCAAAACCUACCGCCCAGCUCCCGCCGCCUGCGCCGUCGUGCAGGAUCACAGGCCCGCAGAAGGGGUGUUCCCCGUUAUCGGCGUGUAGGCCGUGGAAGACUCCGUCCUCGCCAGUCAUGGCUGACGUAAAGCAGAUGGGCCCGCCCUUGACACUGUCCACCUCCGAGUUCGACAGCUGCUUGCUACAGAGCCUGUCCAGACUGGCUCCUGCGCCGCCGCCGCGUCCGCCACCACCCAUGAGGAGCGGCGGCGGCUGAGGCAGAGCCCGCGGCCGAGAUCGAGGCGUCGGGCUGACCGACCCGGCCGGCCCCUGCGGCGUGGCUUGAAGCUGGAGCGGCGCCGGCUUCGAGCGAAUGGCGCGCUCUUCGGAUAAAUCUGGGGUCGUCUGCGGCGGCGGCGGCGGCGGCCUACGCGGCACGGCGGCGCGGGCGGCGGCUGUGCCUUCUUCAGCUCCCUUGGAGUCUGAGGGUGACGGUCUCGCCGCGACCUUUUCCAAAGUGGGCUUCCGUAGGGCCGGCGACGCGCCCUCGGCUGCAGGCGCCGCCGCCGCCACGACAGCCCCGGCAGAGCCGCUGGGUACACGGCCCUGCUGCCGCUCCCACUGCGAGCCCGACGCCUCCUCGCCCUCCUCCUCCCCGCCGUCUCGAGACGCCCGAGACCCCUGCGCCCCCGCGCCCGCGUCGCCAGGAGCCGCCGAAGUCGGGCCCCGCCCUCCGCUGGUGGUGAUCACAGCGCCCACGGUCUCGCCACUGUAGCGGUCGCCGCCACCACCCGCGCUCCCAGGCGCAGCGACUGAGCGGGCCCCGCCGCCACCGCCGCCCAAGCCGCCCAGCCCACCAACGUUGCCGCUGCUGCCAACCUGUGCAAGGCCCGACAGCUCCGCCAGCGGCGGCGGCGCCGCCGGCGCCGCGCCAAAUCCCAACGCAGGGUGCCGGCUGCCUUGCUCUGCGCCUCCGAGCCCAGCAGCCCCUGCUACCGCGCCCGCAUGCACGCAAACGCCGGCGCUGCCGCCCGCGCCCGCGCCCGCCGCUGCUGCGUCCGCCUCCUCGCCAGCGGGCCUGAGCAGUGCGACAAUCUCGUACGGCCGCGCCGGCCUGGGCGGGUCCGCAGGCCCGGAGGCGCAGCUGCCGUUGGCUCGCAGCAGUGUGUAGCGGCCCCGCGGCACGCCCUCCACCGGCUCCCUGAUGAGUUGCAGGCCUGCCGCCUCGGGCGUGGUCGGGUCCAGAACGCCGCCGUCCGCCGUCAGCCACCUCGAGGGGCCGUUCAGGCGGAUGCGCCACGCCGCGUCCUUGCCCUUGCCCUUCGCCUUGCCGCCCGCGCCCCUGCCGGCCGCUGCCGCCCCGGCCGGGGCACCUGCGGCGGCGGCGGCGGCGCCGCCGCCCGUGACCUCUUGCAGCGGGCGCAGUGUGUCCGCAGCGCUCAAGCCGAGGACCGUGAAGAGCACUGCGCCGGCCCCGUCGCCGUCCGACACAGGCACCAUGUCUUGAGCUCCGGCGCCCGCGCCGCUGUCCAGCACCAGCGGCCCCAGCUCGGCGACGCAGGUGAGGCCCGCGGCGCGCAGGUCUGCCGGCUUCAGGGCCAGCAGCUUGCGACGCGGCGCGGCAGGGUCGCGCGACGGCAAGACGGUGACUGUGAAGUGAAUGGUAAAGGCCCGGACGCAGUGGCCCGCACGCAGGGCGUCCAGCUGGUUCCCGUCAUGCGGCGGUUGGCCUGCAGUCGCUGGCUGGGGGGCUGUCGCGGCUGCGGCUGCGGCUGCGGCUGCCCCCACCGCCGGUUGGGUUGCUGCCGCCACCAGGGUGGCUUCUGCUGCGUCUGCUGGUGCCGCUGCGGUGGCAGUUGGCGCCGCUGCAGGGUCGGACCCCGCGGCGGGUGCAGUCGCCGCAGCGGGCUCCCCGCCAGCGUCCGCCAUGUGAGCCUCCACCAAUGCCUGCUGUGCCUGCGGCGCAGCUAUGGGCGCUGUAGCUGCGGGGCUGGGUGCUGUCGCAACCGCAGCUGCCACCUGUGGCGGCGCGGCAGAGGGCAGGACCUCCACCGCAGCGCUGCCGGCGGGCGGCGGCGCUGCCUCUGGCCCCAUCGCGGCCAGCAGCACGGUUUGCAGGGACGGCGGCGAGACGGCGAAUGCAGACGCAGCCGGUUGCUUAGGCCCCGGCGCAGGCUGGAGCCCGCAGCCGCUCGCAUGCACAGCGGCAGUCGCGGCCUCGGGAGCCGCCGCAGGAGGGGCUACAGCUGCGACCGCGGCUGGCACCGGCUGCACCUCGUGCGAGCCAGCCUCGGCACCAGCUGUGCCACCGCCCGCGGCGGCGCCAACAUUUGCAGCAGCCGGGGCGGUGUCUGACCCCAGCGCAGGACCGCCCCCUACUACGCCUGCCCGUGGUGUUCCUGCAUCCGCCGCCGCCCCAACCGCCGCGCCCACGUCACUUAAUCCGACCACCUGGACUGGCAGCUGCUGCUGGGGCUGCUGCGUGGGCUGGUCACGUGGCUCCGACUGUUGGCCCGCCGAUGGCUCCACUGGCGACCCAGCCGCACCUGCAGCGACACCGGUGCUUACAGUCUUGGCAGGCGACAACGCAGCCGCCUCUGGCACCGGUGCCUGCCGCGGGAUUGCGAAUUUGUUCUUGCGGUGGCGGCGGAGCAGCGCCAGGGAGCUCACAUUGGCGAAGUCCACCGCCGGGGCUGCAGCUGAAGGCGCAGCCGUAGGAGGAGCUGUAGGUGCAGCUGAAGGUGCAGCUGUAGGUGCAGCUGUAGGUGCAACUGGCAUUUGGCGUGAGAGGUGUAAGAGAAGGCGGGGGCCACAGAGGGUAAGGAGAGGUAUGGCAUCUGCAGCCUCAUUGUAGCGGUAGCAGGCAGCUUUAACGACUUACGAGCGGUUCCCGCCGGAUUUCCACAGCUCCCCUUCGCUCCACCCUCAGCCGAUUGAGAGUCCGCAGGCUGUACAUCCAUGGUCAACUCGUUGUAUUCCAAAGCUCAAGGCAUGGCACCUCGCUUGCGCAACUCUCCCGACAAUGGCGCACUCCCCGGCGAGCCGUUCCGCCGCAUCAUAGCAACUAUGGAGUACAUGCAAUAUUUAGGCAUGCGUUUGCAUCGCUAAUUGCAAUAGGCACGUCUUGCCGAGGCAAGCCUAUACACGGCGGAUAUUUCUUUCGAGGGCGAACCUAGCCAGGCGUGGAGUACGUUGGUUUGAAUGUUGUUUGCGUAGAAAACUCCAGAUGUGGCUACGGAGUUGCGGAAGGGAUGAAUUUCUGCUGAACCCCAUUCCAGGCCCAGCCCUGGCCCUGAUAGCCCCGACCGCUCCCGGGGGACUGUUUGCAGGCUUGCCGUUAUCUUACAAGGUACCAGACUUCCUGCCAACAACGUCAGAUACCGAGAAGGUUGCAGGUCUGGGCGUUAAGCCCAGGAAUAUCGGCAUGCCAUUUCGUAACCAGCACUUUCUGGCAACCCGGUGCACACAACCUCCUCUGUCUCUGCUUCUCCGGUCAGGCCGCUCAAGCGGUCACUUGCUCAUGUGGAUAUGUGCACUUCAUUGAGUGCGCGCCUGCAUUGGGAUGCAGAUUCAACUGUAGAACCUCUGCCAGGGGAGUGGCACUCCCCUGACCUCUGCCCCUUGCGCUUACUCAAUACGAUUCCAUCGACUAGAGGCUGUUGCCACACGUCGUACUGCUCAUACAGGCCUCACGCGUUUUACUAAGCUAGCAUGAACGUCAAUGGGGGGGGCUGUGCGCGUUCAGGGGUACACGGUGGACGUUCGGGACAGUCGUUGCGGAUGGGCGGGAGAGGACAGUUCGUGCGGGAUCUGUGCGGCAGGCACGGUAAUUGAUGGGGGCGCCUGAAAAGACAGAUGAGCCAGUGCGGACCGGGGGAGGGAGCGAUUGGACUUGCUGUUCGCGCGACUGAAGAUGGAGGGAUGGGCGAAACAGGGGAAAUCGGUAACGGUAGUGGAGGGUCGGAGAACUUGGUUGGGCGGGGAAAGUAGUGGGAGGAGUGGGAAAAGUGUCUGUGUGUUCGUGGGGCGGCGGGAACGUGGCCCGCCGAGACUGCGCAAGUUCAGAAAAGACAGAAUGGAAGGUUCCAGACGAGGCCCGUGCUCAUGACGGCUUUUAUACGAGCUUUUAGCACACGUCCAUCACAUCUAUAUUGCCCAGGGGGCGACUGCGUUGCAAUCUCAGCACACAGCAUGCCAAGUUAUUGCACGCUCGUCCCAUGACAACUACAUCAGCGGGCAGACGUGAUCAAGGACUGGGCGCCAAAUUAAAUCACGUCAACACUCCGUAUACGUUGUUUUUACCCGCCGUUUCCUACGGAGAAAGCACGCAGAUACGGUCAAUUCAAUCUGGAAGCUCACACUUGGCGGUACAAACGUCUAAGUCUGCACACGCACGUCAGGCUGCGGUCACGCCUGAAUGCAUGAACAUGUAACACAUUUCACCUUGCUUUUAUAUCAUGGCUAUUCACGUGCCAACCUGCUGGGAGUUUCUGUCUCCAUCAACCUGCACUUCAAGCCAUAGUGUCGCUCCUGCAUCACGUUCCUACAGGCCACGCCGCGCGUGGCCAACACGCCAGCACACGCCGGGUUCUGCGCGGACCCGGCCGUGGACCGCACACACCCCCGCCGCAUUCACGGUGCCACGAGGCCGCACCCCACGUAGCAUACCGCAACACAUCACAGGUUCUUGGUGCUGAUGUAGUAGGGGCAGACCGCAAUGCUGAAGACGUUGCCUGCGGAUCGGCAGCAGUCCAGAGAAUGGAUACCAGUCACCACCGUAAUCCACACGCGUAACCCAGUUGCUACAGCCAUACGUAUCUAGAGGCAGGGUAUAUAUGUUUGUAUGUGCGGUUGUACGUUGUAUGUGCGCGCGUGCAGCGUGCGGACCUCCCCUCCUCAAUCUGCACGUAGACAGUGCCGGCCACACAGCCACUCCCCCGGUCCGAUGCACGCCGCUGUCACGUCCGAUGAAACGUCACGCCACGUUCCACCCACCCUGCCGUUGAGACUAUUCCAUUCGUAUGGGCUCUGGCUUGUAAUGUGCCUACCCACCCACCCACCCACCCACCCACCCACCCACCCACCCAGUCCUCCCACCACGCCCACGCCCACCUGUGAUGUGCUCCAGGCGCCACAUGCGCUCCCGCGCCCGCCGCCGCAGCACCACCACGUCGUACAGGUCGUCCAGCAUCUGGUGGUGGGCGGGUGGGGCGGGGGGCGGGCCGGGGUCAGUCGAGUGGCCGUGGGGCCUUCACGACUACGGACAAAGCACCGGAGCCGGUAAUUUCGCAUGACCAACCCUUUUCACCCACUGGGUAGCCGAGGUCAGCGCCUAACCAUACAUACAUAUACACACCCACCCACCCACCCACCCACCCACCCACCCACCCACCCACCCACCCACACCCACACCCACACCCACACCCACACCCACACCCACACCCACACCCACACCCACACCCACACCCACACCCACACCCACACCCACACCCACACCCACACCCACACCCACACCCACACCCACACCCACACACACACCCACACACACACACACACACACACACACACACACACACACACACGCACACACACCACCAUCAUGCCGCGCAUGGGCUGGAAGCUCUCUGGCUCUGAGACCCUCAAAGUCCCCCUAGCGAAGCUGUCCGUCCGCAUGGCCACAUCCAUGCAGCUGGACGAUGUGGCCACGCGGCGGGCGGACCUACACGAGGAUUAUGAGCGCGCGGCACAGGGCCUCCCGCCGCGCGCUGUGGUGCGGCGGGAGGACCUGCCAGCAGCUGCGGCUGCAACGCUUGGCGCCAUUAGGGACACCCUGGCGCGCCUUUGGCAGAAGGUGUGGUGGGAACGGCGACACUUUGAGACGCUGUGGCGGUUGGCCAUCGACGCAGUGCCGCUGCCGGGAAACUCGCAUAUGCCGUUGGCUCGCCGUGAGCCAUGCGGCUGUGGGCAACACGGCCAUGGGGGCGCCGCGGUGGAGACACACGCCGCCGCCGCGCCCACGCCACGGCAGCACCACUUCUGGGAUUGCGCGGUGGCGAAGGCCGUGGUGGCGCAGAUCAACGCACACAACCCCGGUCCGGCUCCCAUCAGCCAAGCCCAGCUGUGGCUGGUUCAGGCGCCGCCGGGUUUUCAGCAGUGUGUUUGGGACGUGGUGGUGAUGGCGGCGCUGGCCGCCACAGAACAUGGCCGGGUGCGGCUGCGCGGGAUGACGCGCGCCGCAGCGGCCCUGGGAAUUCAGACGGCGGCGGCAGCAGCUCCCGAGGCUGCGGUGGCAGGUGCAGCGGAGGCGGAACCCGAUCUUGACGAGAUCCCGCCCACACAGCUGACGCCGCCGCAGCCAGGCGUCAACCCCGUCGAGCUUGCGUGCGCUCGUGCAGUCGCGGACUUCUGGUCGCGGCUGAUGCAGUUUGCGCAGCUCGGCGUGCCCCAAAAGGGCUGGGAUGGUGUUGACGCCACUCACCCCAUCCUGGCGGUGGUGAACGGUGAAAUGCUGUGCGCGAUGCCGCAAGCUAUGGAGCUGGAGGCUUGAAAGGGAUCAGCCCUUAGGAGAAGCGCGUGAGCACUAACAUGAGCCACUGAAGCAGUGGCAUACGAGAGGGUCAGCGGGGGAGCUUAGUGGGCAGGCGAAGGGUUUUUUUUGUUUUACGCCCGUGGGAGCAGGGCCAGGUUUGCGGGGUUUUUAUGCCUGAGAGGGUGUAUUGGGUGCUGCAACACCCCGGGUCUUACGGCCUGGACCGGCCUAGUGGCCAGACGCGUUUGUGGCUGCCCUUAGGCAUUGUCUGCCCUGGCGUCGAGAGCUGGUUAGGUUGCGGUUGAGGUCGUGCAGGCUGCCGGGUCGUAGGACUCAGCCCCGCAGCCACUGUGGUCGUGCUUUCGCGUGCUGUCACGUGCUGAGUGUUUUGUUUUGUUUGCUGUUUUUGUCUGCCCGCCUGGUUUUAUUAAGAGGUAGCUCGCCCGCUGGGUCUGAGGUUGUUACACCGGUAGUAAUUCCGCAAGGAUUACUGGCGCGGUGAAGGGUCGGAGUGCGUUGCCCUGUGGACUCCAGAGCUGUUUUGCGCUCUGCCGGGGAAACGCCAGGUCACGGCAGCCCUCGAUUGAGAGCCCUGUCGUUGGUUAUACCAGAUACACGAUUCACGUGAUCUGGCAGAAUAACCGUGGAAACCGUAGUCACACACACACACACACACACACACACACACACACACACACACACACACACACACACACACACACACACACACACACACACACACACACACACACACACACACACACACACACACACACACACACACACACACACACACACACACACACACACACACACACACACACACACACACACAGAGAGAUACACACACACAGAGAGAUACACACACACACAGCACAACGUGACCGCAGCCCGAGUCCCGCACAUCCAACACCUGCAACUUUCACCCGGCCCCCUGGGUCCCCUCGCCCCAGCGCCUCACCUCGCGGUUGAGCGCGAAGUGUGUGUGGCGCAUAGCGUUGACGAUGGAGGCCAGGAAGGACAGGUCGAUCACGUCCAGGUCCAGCGGCACGCGCGUCACCGGGUCCGUGAUCUGGUACACGCGCCUGCCCUGCAUGUGUAUGCCACACGUGCCGGUGCAUGUGUUCGCGAGCACAGGCAUGGCAUGGGGUGUUAGAAGAGCACAAGAAAGGGGCGACAUCGUGCUGUACACGUGUGUGGGUGCACGCGAGUGGAAGUACAGUCGAACCACCUGAGGAAGUGUGGCAGGAUCGGCCAGGCGCAGUGGCCUUGAACACAGGGGUCAGUGUCGCACAGCCAUCGCGCAGUCCCUCCCACCCCCGCCUGUGACACACGCGCCGCCACCCACCAGGCUCUUCUCCAACCAACCGUACAACACGGGCUUGCGCAGGCGGCGGCGGUAAUGCACCACCCGCUCGCACCACCACGCCAGCUCCUUCGCUCCCUCCUCUUCUUCUUCCUCCUCCUCCUGCUGCCCAUGCCCCUCUCCAUGCCCGGCAGCCGGCGCCGCCGCCUCCACGUCAGCUAAGAAAGCUGCGACAGCCUUGCGCGCCGCUGGGCGCAGGCGCUGCAGCCGCGAGUCAAACAUCGUCAUCAAAAAGUAGUAUAGACAACGCACGCUGCAUAUCGGGAAGUGCGAAAGCGGCAAAGCGCGCAGCAAAACUGCACGCGUCCAGAACUGCGGUUGCGAAGGCCAUUGCCUCUGAGUCCGUGCUGGCUGGAUGUUUUCGUUUGUUAGGGCAGCAGCAUGCUCGCCAUCAAGAAGAGUGUAGAGUGAGCAGCGGGCCCCUUGCAGACCAAUGGGGUUUUAAACAUUGAUGCCAAAAUUUCACAACCAGAUCAAACUGUGAUUGCAACAGCGCGUUCUUACACUGUAAUCGUUCAGCAAUCGAAAUACACGCGUGUUGCCCUGAGCGGCAUCGCCGCGCGCAAAAUAGUAGUCUCUUUUGGCGCGCUCCGACAACUGGGGCGCCCGCUCUCGCCAGCGCUCUCGCCGUGUUAGCCUGCAAUCCAAUUGAAAUGAUGCAUUGCUCUCCCGACCAUUUCUAAUGCUGUGACCGGAUGCAUCAUCGUGGUUCCUCCGCUCACGCACUCCGCAUAGCAACACUCUGCCUGCCUUUGACUGGAACCCGCGCCCUGGCAACCGUCAAACGUAGAGCAGGUACAGACCACCCUCGCCAGCGCCCAACGGACUGUCAAAUUUCAUCCAGUCAUAGCAACUGCCCUGCCGUCAGCAUUCUUGCCCGCAUGAAAUUUACAUACCAUACAGUACCGUAAUGGGACACGCGCACUUAUCUUACAAGUUACAACUAUUCCCAGACCCCGCACCGGCGGUGGCAUGCCGCCCGCAAAUCCCUCGCCAACGCCCAGCCCCGCGUUGCCAGCUGCCGCCGCAGCAUGUGCACGCCGCCGCCGCUGGGGCCACCGCCGAGGCCGCCGCCUUAGCGGGCGCUGCCGCUGCCGCCCGCCGGAGCGCUGCCGGCAGGGAAGCGCCAGCCCAACGGCGUCGCCGCCAGCCGCGCCGCGCGCCACUCCAUGAAGCUCCUGGGCGCGUUGGGGUUGGGCCCGGGCCCGCCCGGCUCCGAGUCGGGGUCGAAGAUGUUGCUUCGCAGCCGGAUCCUUUUCAUCCGCCGCAGAAUUAGCUCCUCGCACCCCAUGUCAGGAAGGUAGUGAAGCCGCCCGCCCACUACCUCGUCCAGCGGCGGAAGCUGGUGGCGGUACGGAUCACUGCGGUCGGCAGCAGUCGCACGGCGGCAGGGAGGGGCAGGGGUGGCGGCAGGGGUGGGGGCAGGGGGAGGGGUAGGGAGGGGGUGUUGGACAGAAGCCACGUGGGUAACAGUGAAGGGACAUGCAGACGGUCGGGGCUGGGAAGGAUGGGCACGGUUGCCUGCCAUGCAUGGGCGCGUGACCAAGUAAGCUGAAUUACAAGGUAUCCCCAAACCAGACAUAACCAAGCAAAGGAGCCCUUUCGGUUUACCUGAAUGGCUCGUAGCGCCCAGAGCUGCAAUCACCGCCGCCGCCGCCUAGCCUGCUGUUGGCGGCGCCGCUGCCGGCUGCUGCUGAUGCCGGUGACUCCUUGGCCGGCACGUCACGGCCGGGCCCGCUGCCUGCCGCGCGCCGUGCCUCUCGGCCCUGAGCACCUGCGGCCUCCUCCGCGAGUGGCACGGCAUCGGCCGCACCGCCUGCUGGUGCCGCUGCCGCUGCCGCUGCCGCUGUGGCUGUGGCUGAUGCACCUGCGGUGCUCGAGUGAGUGCGGAGGUCCUCCCACUCAGCCGUCGCGGUCGCGGCACCACCAUGACCGUCACCGUCGCCCCAGCCGCCCGAUGCUUCAGCCGCAGUCGCGGCGGAGGGCUCCGCGCCGCCGGCUUGGUGUGGCUCGGGCGCGUCAGCCGCAGCGGCGCCCUUCCCACCCGCCGUGCCACGCACUUGCGCGGAUGUCGCUGCAGCGGCCACGUCUGAUGUGCCUGCGCUGCUCCGGUACACGGAGCCCCCGACCCAGCCUACCGGACCCACCGCGUCACCGCGAGCUUCCGCUUGGGCCUCAGGUGCCAUGCCUGCCCCGUCCCCCUCGCCGCCACCGCCAGCACACCGGCCGCCCUCUGCUUCGGCGCGGCGGCGCUUGCCCGACUCCGGGCUUGACCCCGCUGCCCGCUCGCCAUCCUGCGCCUGGCUUCCUGACUGGCCAGGACUGCGCCCCCGCGGGCCAGGCUCCGGGUCCCGCUCGCGCCCCUGGCCUCGGUCCCGGCCUCGGUCUGAAGCCUUGCCGCUGCUGCGGCCCGGAUCCCGCUUUGGCUCCGGCCCUGGCUUCGGCUCGUUGCCGCUGCCGCCGCCGCGCGCUCGCCCCUCCAGGUCAUGCUGCCGCUCCUGCUCGCCCUCGCGCCGGCGCUUCUGCCCCCGGUCGCUAUCACGCUCCCGCUCUCGCUCCUGCUCCCGGCCGCGUGUAGACUCCUUCUCGUCAUGCUUGCGUUGCUGGUCAUGCUCGCGCUCACUGCCGCGCUCCCGCGUCUGCUCCAGCUCGGGGCCGCGCUUCCGGUCCCCGCCCCUGCCGCCCUCCUUGUCCCGGUCCCGCUGCCGGUCUCGCUCGCGCCCCGGCUCCGCCGUGCGCUUUUUCUCACGAGACCGGUCGCGGUCACGCUUGCGGUCAGCGUCACGUGGCCUUUCGCGCCCCGAGCUGUGGGCCUGCGGCUGGUCAUAGUCGCUGCUGUUGCCCUGCGGCUGCUCAUCCCGCCCUCGCUUUUUAUCGUUCGGCUGCUGCUCCACGCCCAGCCCUUGCUCGCGCUCCACAGCUGGCUCCCUGUCCAAAGCCUGGGCCUGCGGCAGCGGCAGUGCUGCUGACAAGAGUGCGGAGAGCGAACCGGCCUGUCCUGGUGGCUGCUCGUGUGGGGACGGAAGAGGCGGCUGUUGCGAGGGCUGCAGCUGCGGUUGGGGCGACAGCGGAGGUUGUGGCUGCUGCGGCUCUAGCGGCUGUAGUGGUGCCGCCACUGGCGGCGACACCAGCGGCUGCUCGGCCGGCUGCGGCUGCGGCGGUGGCGACAUGCUUUGCACCGCAGACGGAGACAAGACGAUUGGCGUGCACCCGGUGCUGGACCGUCGCCGCAUGGUCCCUGAAGCAUCUAGGCCCUCCUGCUGCUGGUGCUGCAUUCCUCCUGCCUUAUCCUUGCCAGUUUGGCCUUGCUGCGCAGCCUGUGGGCUCCCCACUCCCACGUCCGGCUGCAAGGCGGCCCCCACCUGCCCUGCUGCCUUGCUGCGAUGCCUUUGGCUGUCGGUUCCACCGCGCUCUUCACGCGGCCGGGAUUCCUGCCGUUGCUCGUUCGUGUCAGGCACAGACCGCGGCGUGUUAGAAGCCGUCGGAGCAGCUGCGCCCGCUAGGUGUGGUGGGAGGAGCGACGGAGACAGCGGCCGCAGCGAUUCCUGCUGUUGCUGCAUCUGCAUCUGCUGCAGCUGGCCCUGCGCUAACGGCGGUGGCGGCGGUAGUGCCUGCUGCUGCGACUGUGGCUGGCGGCCCGUUUCCGCAUCACGGGACGCCUGUUUGUCGCGCUCCCGCUCCUUGCUGCUGUCUUGCCGCCGAGCCGAAUCUGUCCGGUCUCGGUCGCGCUUCCCUUGACGUUCCCGAUCGCGGUCACCGUCCCGGCUGCGGUCUCGCGCUGCAGGCUUCGCUGCUGCCGCCGCCGCCGCAGCGUCCGCCGCUUUUGGCGUGCCUGUGUUAUGACCAAAAGCACCCAAAGAUGCGGGGCGAGGGGAGGGCGGCAGCUGCUGCGGAGCUGCUGCUGCUGCUGCUGCCGCCAUCGUCGGCGCUGCCGGGCUUGGUCCUGUGGCCGCCGCUGCUGCUGCUGCUGAGGGCUCGCUGCUGCCAUGGCCGUCAGCCCGGUCGCUCUUGCUGGGUUCCGCUCCGCGUUCCUUGCCACGCAGCGACUGCUGCGAAUCUUUGCCCUCGGCACGCUCUUGCUGCUUGCGCUUCUCCCUCUCCUUCUCCUUCUCCCUGUCCCUAUCGCGCUCCUUCUCUUUCCCCCGCUCUUUGUCCCUGUCCUUAUCCUUCUGCUGCUGCCGCACCUUGUCGGCAUCCAUGCCGCGCUGCCUGUCGCCACUCACGGCACGAUCCCGGUCCCGGUCCCGGUCCCGAUCCCGAUCCCGGUCCCGGUCCCGGUCCCGGUCGCGCUCACGCUCCCGGUCCUUUGGGCGGCCGUCGCCGUGCUCCUUGUCGGCGCUGAGGCCCUGCGCCUCAUCCCGGCGCCGGCUGCGCUCUUGCUCCGGCUUCUGCCGGCCGCCCUCGCGGUCCCGACCGCGGUCUCGGCCCCUGGUGUCGCUACGCUCCCGCUCUCGCUCCCGCUUGCGCUCCCGAUCGCGGUCACGGGCCGCGUCGCAAUGGCCGUCGCCGCCGCCAGCUGCGGUCGAGUCGACGGCACGCCGCCUGUCGGGUGUUGCGUCAGCUGUGGACGUGGUGGCUGCCGGCGGCCGUGUCGGUUGGGCUGCGCCGUUGUCGGGCGUUGCCGCAGGGGCAGUGCCGCUCGGCGUCGUGACAGCGCCCCUGCCGCCUGCGUCGUCGCGCUGGCUGGCGCCAUGUUGCGGCGAGCGAGGCAGCGACAGCUGCGGCGGCGGCAGACCCUGCUGCAGCUGCGGUGGCUGCAGCGGAACCGCUGCUGCAACUCCUGCCUCCCCACCAGCACUGCCCGCCUGCACCGCAGCCGCUGCCGCUGCGCCUGCCGCAGCCCCCUGGGCGGCUUGAUGCCACGCCGCCGCCUCCUGGGGCAGCGGGAAGGCCUGCACCUCCCCGGGCAGGUGCAGCAGCGCCUCGUGGCGUGCCAGCGAGGCCUGCGCGUCAUCCAGCGCCUCCUCCGCCGCCGCCGCCUGCGGCAGGCCGUUCUCGGCCACCUCCCACCCGUCCGCCACGGGCGCCCACCAGUCAUCGCCUCGGUCCAGGAGCAGCUGCUCGCCGGGCCGCAGGUCGCGGACGGCCACCAGCACCGGCAGCACCACGCCGCGCACCGCAACCGGCACCACCUAGCAAUUGGAGGAGCGAGGCGGUUCCAAGGCCUACCUCAAGAAAGCUCGAAAGGGCAACGUGCAUGGCCUCGGGUUUCGGGUCACACGGAGUUUGGGAGCUGCAUGAAAACAGCCCGCAGCGCAGGGCGCUACCGCAAGACAGUCCCAGUCCGCCGUGUCACGCAAUACCGCGUCCGCCCCGUCCGCCUGCCCGCUCCCAUCCCCGCGCGCACCCACCACGCAGUUGGCCUGGCGCUCCUCCUCCGGAGGCUCCGGCAGCUCUAAGUCAUCCGUCGCGUGCCGCCGCUGCCCCGGGUCGUUCACCAGCGCCAACACGCUGCGUGCCGCCCCCAUGCUGAACAGCGUGAACUCCUGCUGCCGCGGCGCCGGCAGCUGCGAGUGCAUGCAGUGGGCGCUGUCCGGGGGCGCGAUACCUGUGCCUGCUCCGGCUGCUGCAGCGGCUGUUGCCAGGUCCGCUGCCGCGGCUGCUGCUGCUUUGGCGGCAGCCGCCGCGCCCGGCGUCUCCGUCAGCUCCGGCGGGUAGGGCAGGCGGUAGGACAGGGACAGGAAGCGCCACACCUCUCCAGUCUCGCCGCGCCGCCGCAGCUCCAGCAGCAGAGCGGGGUCGCCGCGAGCUGGGCGGUGGCUGGACGCCGCGCGCGGGUGGCCCACGUAAGCGAACUUGUAGGCGUCCUCAGAGCCGCCCGCAGUGCCCUGCGGGGCCGCACAGGUCGCGGGUGCGCGCGACAUGGAGCGAGCAGAUGCCUUACUACUUGCGUACAUCCCACCUUGACUUACGUAGAUCCCACCUUGACUUACGUAGAUCCCACCUUUCUUGCGUACAUCCCACCUCUGCCCGCUUCAUGACGACGCUCAAGAACCCGCCUUCUGACUGCCAUACUCGGGACGUCAAGCUACGCACGCGCUCACCUGCAGCAGCCAACCAGGCAUCACACCCAAGGGGUGGAACUUCCGGACCUCCGUGGUCACGCACGCGCCCAGCCCGCCGCGCCGGGCGUCGCGGCACGCCACCACGCAGGGUAGCGUCACGGGGCCGCGCGGCAGCGGCGUGGUGGCGUCAUACAAGUCCUGUUGUGGGAGAACGAGGGCGGCCCAGGUUUGCUAACAUUCCGUUGCAGAACCCUUUUGCAGUGGUCAAAUGUCAAUCAAGCGUCCAUAUGGACACAUUGUCCUGGCUUGUUUGGGAUCACGUUCGGGGCGUGUGCGGUGUUCCAGACUGGACAAUACGCUCGAGCGCACCUUGAGAUUCAGCAGGCUCGCAAGGCGGCGCUGAAGCACCCCGGUCCUGGUGCCGCUGCUGCUGCCGCCGCCCUCGCCGCCCCGAAAUAGAGCAUGCCAAGGCCUCGGCUGCGCCGACGCUGGCAGCGCCGCCUGCUGCCCCUGGCCUUUGUCUCCCUUUCUGCUGCCUCCACCAGGCAACGGCACGAUCUCGACUGCGGGCGUCUGCUCAUUGCCGGCGUGGCGUCGUAGCCAGUCCGCCCGCCCGGCGCGGGCGAAGGCGGCAGCCGCGGCAUUGCCACCGUCCCGCCUGACCGCAAACACGACGCCGCACAGUCGCAGCGACCCGUCGUCUGCAUCUUCCGCGGGCACCUCGCGUGCUGCUGCCUGCGGCGCGCCGCCGCCGGCCCCCGCAGCCUCCGAGGCACCAGGCAGCAGCCGCCUCCAGCGCAUCUGCUCCAGCGUGAUGGUGCCGGCGACCUGCUCCCACUGCGCAUCAGCGGCGGCGGGCGGCGUGAAGCUGGCGGGGUCGGCGCCGGCCGGCACCCAGCCGUCCGGGUCGUGCACGCAGGCGGCGGCGCCUGCCGCGCCGGCAGCCGCCGCGGUGCCGAGGCCGGGCUGCUGUAGCGGCUGGGGCUCCUGGGGCGACUUCCGCUGCUGCUGCUGCUGCUGCUGCUGCCCUGUUGCGACGUCGCGGGCCAGCGGCGGCGGCGAGACGCUCGGCUUGGGGCGCGCAGGCGCCACUGGAGCCGGCGGCGGCGCACGCGCCCGUGGCGGCGCGCCGUCCUUGGCCGCGGCCUCGCCUUUGCUGCCGGCAGACCUGGCGGCUGCCCCGCCGUCGGCACUCCGCGGGCUGGGGGCCUCCCGGCUGGUGGUGGCUGGCGCCGCCGGCGCUGCGGCCGCGACCCCGGGAUCCGUCACACCACGCGCCCCGUGUGCCACCGCCACGGCACCCCGCCGCGCCAGUCCUCCCGCUGCUGCCCCGGCACGCUCCCCCUCCUGCUCAUCGUCCUCAGAGCCCUCCUCGCCCUCAUCCAAGCCCUCAUACGCGCCCUGCUCCUGCCCCGACUGCUCGUCAGCUACGGCCGCGCCCCCCGGCCGACGCGAGACGCAGCGCACGGCGUAGUGCGGGGGGGCCAGCCGCACCGCGCCCGCCGCCAGCGGCCGUCCGGCAUUGUCGCAGGCUUCCAGGACCAACUCCUUGCCGACCGCCAAGCCCAAUCGCUUGCGCAUGUCAGCUGGAAUCGUCAUG
RNAcentral lists this long non-coding RNA (17927 nucleotides) under Chlamydomonas reinhardtii. RNAcentral's name for it is "long non-coding RNA (CREI_LNC001290)". Lineage: Eukaryota; Viridiplantae; Chlorophyta; Chlorophyceae; Chlamydomonadales; Chlamydomonadaceae. The record is from RNAcentral.